This 492-nucleotide ribosomal RNA is filed under the name uncultured bacterium. Its description in RNAcentral is "partial 16S ribosomal RNA". It matches the Rfam family "Bacterial small subunit ribosomal RNA", at positions 29 to 507 of the family's 1533-position model. The record is from RNAcentral.
AGUGAACGCUGGCGGUAGGCCUAACACAUGCAAGUCGAACGGCAGCACAGUAAGAGCUUGCUCUUACGGGUGGCGAGUGGCGGACGGGUGAGGAAUACAUCGGAAUCUACUUUUUCGUGGGGGAUAACGUAGGGAAACUUACACUAAUACCGCAUACGACCUACGGGUGGAAGCAGGGGAUCUUCGGACCUUGCGCGAUUGAAUGAGCCGAUGUCGGAUUAGCUAGUUGGCGGGGUAAAGGCCCACCAAGGCGACGAUCCGUAGCUGGUCUGAGAGGAUGAUCAGCCACACUGGAACUGAGACACGGUCCAGACUCCUACGGGAGGCAGCAGUGGGGAAUAUUGGACAAUGGGCGCAAGCCUGAUCCAGCCAUACCGCGUGGGUGAAGAAGGCCUUCGGGUUGUAAAGCCCUUUUGUUGGGAAAGAAAAGCAGCAGGUUAAUACCCCGCUGUUCUGACGGUACCCAAAGAAUAAGCACCGGCUAACUUCGUG